Molecule: ribosomal RNA, 393 nt
Filed under: uncultured bacterium
Lineage: Bacteria
Description: bacterial SSU rRNA
Rfam family: Bacterial small subunit ribosomal RNA
Source: RNAcentral
AUCAACGCUGGCGGCGUGCCUAACACAUGCAAGUCGAACGCGAAAACCCCGCAAGGGGUUAGUAGAGUGGCAAACGGGUGAGUAACACGUGGGUGACCUGCCUUCGAGUGGGGGGAUAACGUCCCGAAAGGGACGCUAAUACCGCAUGACAUCCUGCUUUUGGAAAAGCGGAGAUCAAAGCUGGGGAUUCGCAAGAACCUGGCGCUUGAAGAGGGGCCCGCGCCUGAUUAGCUAGUUGGUAGGUAACGGCCUACCAAGGCGACGAUCAGUAUCCGGCCUGAGAGGGCGGACGGACACACUGGGACUGAGACACGGCCCAGACUCCUACGGGAGGCAGCAGUGGGGAAUUGUUCGCAAUGGGCGAAAGCCUGACGACGCAACGCCGCGUGGAGG